This is a long non-coding RNA of Notechis scutatus (mainland tiger snake), 759 nucleotides long. NCBI's taxonomy places the organism in Eukaryota, Metazoa, Chordata, Lepidosauria, Squamata, Elapidae. The record is from Ensembl.
UGACAAUCCUUUGGAGAUUGCAGCUGCGGCAUUCUGCCUCUCCAGGAAGGGCUUUUCCCAGGGCCGUUCUGGAGCCACAAAGUUGCCUUGAACUCCAGUCCCAAAGUGCAGGGAGACCCCCCUCCCACAGAGUCCUGCACCACAGGAAUUGUAGUCUCUAUUUUUAUUGAUGGGAGGAAAGCAAUUAAACCAACAUGCAGAAGGCCCACAGCAGCACAGACCAGCUUUGGAAACUUCCACCAUGACCCGUGUUCCUAUGAUGAAGUACCUGGGCCCCACAUGACAUCCCAGCCGCUGAGCUAGGGUGCACCUUAGUACAGCUUUGCCUCUGACUCGCUUCCUUGAAGGCAAAGGGGGAGAGGGGAGGUAAUGCACAGAUACAGUCGUCGUAAAAGUCAGUGUGGGCCGGCCACAUGAACGGAGCAAGACGAACUAUUUGCAGCAUAGAAUACUGUUUUCCUUUGGUCCUGGUGCCUUUCUGGAGUCACAAGCACCCCUAGACAAGACCAGAGGGGAAGAAGAGAACUAGCAGCAGGGCCUGUUUCCCCUGUGAAGCUGCCCACUGAGGAUAGUGUGUGCACAGAAUAUGCCAUUGCUGUGUUAGAUAAUCUGGAAGAAACAGCAGAGCAACUAAAGGCACUUGGAAAAGGAAACCCCAAAACCUGCCCUCCAUCAUUCUUCCUCUGUCACAGAGCACCUGAUGGUUUCCAGAACUGGGUUUUUAAAAUAAAAUAAAAUAAGGGGAAUGUAAUUUGAACA